RNAcentral lists this ribosomal RNA (500 nucleotides) under uncultured bacterium. RNAcentral's name for it is "partial 16S ribosomal RNA". It matches the Rfam family "Bacterial small subunit ribosomal RNA", at positions 30 to 523 of the family's 1533-position model. The record is from RNAcentral.
AUUGAACGCUGGCGGAAUGCUUUACACAUGCAAGUCGAACGGCAGCACGGACUUCGGUCUGGUGGCGAGUGGCGAACGGGUGAGUAAUGUAUCGGAACGUGCCCAGUCGUGGGGGAUAACGUAGUGAAAAUUACGCUAAUACCGCAUACGAUCUAUGGAUGAAAGCGGGGGAUCGCAAGACCUCGCGCGAUUGGAGCGGCCGAUAUCAGAUUAGGUAGUUGGUGGGGUAAAGGCCCACCAAGCCAACGAUCUGUAGCUGGUCUGAGAGGACGACCAGCCACACUGGAACUGAGACCCGGUCCAGACUCCUACGGGAGGCAGCAGUGGGGAAUUUUGGACAAUGGGCGAAAGCCUGAUUCAGCCAUUCCGCGUGCAGGAUGAAGGCCCUCGGGUUGUAAACUGCUUUUGUACAGAACGAGAAGGUUUCUACUAAUACUAGGAGCUCAUGACGGUACUGUAAGAAUAAGCACCGGCUAACUACGUGCCAGCCGCCGCUGUAA